UGACUACUGUGUAUGGCUUACUUUCCUAGAAAAAGGCCAACUCCAUUAUUGGAGAUGAUGAGUGUGCGAACUGUGAAGUAUCUGAUCAGACUCUCAGUCAACAAACACCAAAAUUGUUCAGUUUAAUGAAAUUACAGAAGAAUCUUGCUUGAAUAUGUGAAUGGAACUAACUUUAUGAAGUAUUGGGCUGUAAAAGAAGGAAGGAAAGAAAGGUCUGAGUCUAGGUAGGUAUUAAUGGAGUUUGGAAUCAUCAACACUGCACUGCUCACACCUUUUGCUUUAUGGUUUUUAAAUUCGAUACAUGGAGUUUUAGGCUUUUUGUAUCAGUGAAGAUGCAUGAUCUAUGACCCAUCACGAAGUUUUUCCGACUUCUUGCUGUUGGUUUGGUGCCUUGUCAAUCAUUUUAUUGCCCUCUUUCAUCUGUAUAUUUUUUUCUUUCUUCUGAAAACUUUCUUUUCACUGUCAUUGAAAAGUGGUGCCUUUGUUCAUUUGCAAUUUUCCGGUCUUUUGCAAUGGCAGGUGAGUAAAUUAAAAUUUGAGUAACAAGUAAAAAUUUGUUUUACGGAUGACGUGACAAGUAUCGUGGUGUUGUUCGACAUGCGAAUUGAGAUAGGUAGGUAACUAAUAUUUUCGAUGGAUGAGCGGAAUCCAGGCCAGAUGUCGGAGAUCUUUGUCGGAGAGAAUAUUUAGUUUAGUGACGAUAUAGAUUUCGUAUCUACCUGAUUGAUUUGGAAGUCACGAUCGUGGAGAUAACUGUCUUAAUUAGUGGUGCGAU
This 775-nucleotide long non-coding RNA is filed under the name Zostera marina. RNAcentral describes it as "long non-coding RNA (ZMAR_LNC001649)". Lineage: Eukaryota; Viridiplantae; Streptophyta; Magnoliopsida; Alismatales; Zosteraceae. The record is from RNAcentral.